Long non-coding RNA from Diceros bicornis minor, 9314 nucleotides. RefSeq lists it as uncharacterized. The transcript has 6 exons. The record is from RefSeq and is a predicted model, not a curated record. NCBI's taxonomy places the organism in Eukaryota, Metazoa, Chordata, Mammalia, Perissodactyla, Rhinocerotidae.
UAAGUAUCUAGCUUAAUGAUUUUUUUAGCAAAGUAAACACACUAUAAUAACCACCUCCCAGAUCAAGACAUUCACUAUUCUGGCACUCCAGAAGCCUCUUUUGUCCCCUUUCUAGUAAUUACUGCCACCCAAGGUAAACACUAUUCUGACUUCUACAGCUGUAGCUUAGUUUUGCCUGGUUUUGAACUCAUGUAAAUGGAAUUACACCCUAUAUACUCCUUUUUUACCAGUCUCCUUUUAUUCAACAUCGUGUAUGAGAUUCAUCCAUGUUGUUUCACGUAAUUUGUUGGGGUUUUUUUAUAGCUCUAUAGAUCUGGUUAUCUAUCAUUGCAUAACACGUUAGUUUUGGUUAUUGAUUACUGCAUAACAUGCCACUACAAACUUAGUGGAGUCAAACAGAAAGCCAUUUUAUUAUGCUCAUGGAUCCUGUGGGUUAGGAAUUUUGUGGGGAGAGCUUGCCCUGCUCUGCGAUGGUUGGGGUCUAGAAUCAUUUAGAGGCUCCUUCACUUAGAUGGGUGGUACCUUGGCUGGGAUGUCUUGAAGACCAAGGUCAUCUGGGAUUGUUGACCAGAGCACCUAUAUUUCUUUUUUUGAAAAGUGGUUAUUUUCUUUUUCCACUGGUAUAUCUAAAAUGCAAUUUCAAUGGAGAUGGAAAGUGCUACUUGAAAGUUGCUCUGCUUCUUUGCAACUUUUGAGUCCCUGGUGCACUGUUUGGAUAGUAUUCAGAUAUUGCUGCUAAAAAGGCUGUAAUGGGGUUUGUGAUCAUAUAUGACCAGAGAAGGUUAAUGUCAGUAUCCAGAAGCAGAGAUUGCUUUAAGGAAGAGAGGAGGUUUAGGAAAUGCCCGGUGAGCACAGUCUCUCUGGUAUUAGAUAAAAUCACAAGAAUUUGAGGAUGAGCUCCUCCAUCCUCGUUCUGGGCUGUUCUUGGUCAUAAGACACCAAGCUUAAAGUGGACAUGGCAUGUGUUGUGGCUUAUAUUGGUGAUCUAUUUUGUUCAGUGCAUAUGGUUCCUCUUCUGUUUGGGGAAUAAGUCAUCAUCUGAUCACCACUGUAGUAUGAAGGUGGCUGUGCCCUGGUUGCAGAUUCUCCAAGAGGAGAUUCUCCACGAGGGCUUGACUCUUCACAGCAUGUUGGCUGGGUUCCCAGAGCAAGAUUCCUGAGAAUGACUUAUCCUUGGAAGUCAAAGAACAUCAUUUCCACUCUAUUCUGUUGAUUGAAAUAGACACACACCUGCCUGGAUUCAAGAGGAGGGAACUUAAACCUCACGUCUUCAUGGGAGAUGUGUACAAAAAUUUGUGGCCAUUUUUAAAAAACACCACAAAUUAUAUACCACAAUUUUUUUAUCCAUUUUAUUGUAGAUGGAUAUUUGAGUAGUUUCUACUUUGGAGGAAUGAUGGAGAAUGCUGCUGUAAUCAUUCUUGUUUCUAUCUCUUGGUUUGCAUAUGCAUUCAUUUUAGUUGAUUAAAAAUCUAAGAGUAGAAUUGCUGGUCACAGUGUAUGUGUAUCUUCAGCUUUACUAGAUAGCUCCUGCCAAACAGUUUUCCAAAGUGAUUGUACAAAUUCAUACUUCUACCAGCAAAGUAUGAGCAUUCCAGUUGCUAUGCAGUCUGACCUCCACUUGUUACUGUCAGUUCAACAUUUAAAAAAUGUUUUAACCAUUCUGUGGUUAUCUAGAAGGUCUCAGUGUAGUUUAAAUUGACAUUUCCCUGAUAACUAGUGAUUUGAGCACCUUUUCAUAUGCUUAUUAGCUCUUUGGAUAGUCUGUUGUGAUGUGCCUUUUCAAGUUUUUGCCCAUCUUUGACAAAUUGGGUUGUAGGUCUUUUUUUCUUAUUAUAAUGUUGUAGUUUUUAUGUAUUCUGGAUGUGAAUCUUUGUUGAAUAUAGGAAUUGGAACAAUCUCUUCCCAUCCUGUUGCUUGCCAUUUCUCUCCUGUAAUGUGUUUUUUGAUAAAUGAAAUUCUAAAUUUUAAUGAAUUCCAGCUUACCAAUGUUUUCCUUUAUGGAUAAUGUUUUUUUUUGUGUGUGUGUGUGUGUGUGUGUCUUCUUUAUGAAGUUUUUGCUACCCUGUGGUCAUUAAGAUAUUUUCUUAUGUUAUCUUCUAGAAACUUUAUUAUUUUACCUUUCACAUUUAGGUCUAAGUCUCAGGGAAUUGGUUUUUGUGUGUUGUGAGGUAGCCAUCAAGGUUUCUUUUUUUUUUUUAUACAUAUGCUUGUCUCUAUGAGUAAUAACAGGUAGCAUUGGGUCAGAGGGACACAAGCCUGGGAGUUAGGGGUCCUGUAUUCUCAGCCUUAACCUACAUUUAAAGCACCUUCUGAACUUGGGCGUAUUAUCCUCCCAGUUAUCCCUCCUCUCAGACUCCUUCCUUACCCCCUCCCUCCCUUCCUUCUUUCUUUUUCCUCCCAUCUGUCCAACUUCUCUUCCUUGUCUUUCUUCUUCCUGCUUUCCCUUUGACCCUCCAUUUGUCCACUUUUCCUUUGUCCAUCCAGGCAUUCCAUUUGUCUGUCUAUUUUUCUGCCCAUCCAUCUGCCUGUCCUCUUUGUUCUGUCUCUCUCUUGUUCACCCUCUCUCACUCUCUUGGGUUCAUCUCAUGCACAGGCUUGCUCAUUCCUCCACUCACACAGUCACUCCUUCCCUCACUCUCAUUUAUGGUUCACCUGUGAAUGGCUGUGCUGGUACAGCCAAUACUGGAGCCCAGAUGAGUCUGGGGGGCUUCUCCCCUUCUAUGGGGGCUCUGUCCUUCCCUGAUGACAGCCCUUUCCACAGCUCCUAAGCCAGGCACCACGUUCCUGCCUAUUUCAUCAUCACCUGUGCAUCCAGAAGCCACCACAUAGAUCUGGGGGCCCCUUUUCCUUCCCAAGAGGAGCUCUCCAGCCCCACACCUCCACCAGCCAAUUGUAACUCAAGAGCUGGGAAGCCAAGCUUUAGGGUGCAACCUGAAGACCCUCAUAGUCAACUUCACCAUCUACAACCUCCAGUAUUGAACAGACAUGAGCAACGGCUCAGCAACGUUCAACCUCACCGACAGAGUCCUGAAGCACCUGGUGAGACCCAGGUCCCAGCAGCUCCUGGUGGGAUAAAUGCCAGCCAGCUGCUCCCCACCCCCUGUCCUUCCUGCUCAUCCUUCUCCUCCUUCAUCCCCAGCUUAGGUCCUUGUUCAAGAGCAGCCUGGGCCUCUUCUAUUCUGGUUGCAGACUGACUUCCCUCAGGCCUGAGAAGGAUGGGGCAGCCACAAGUGUGGAUGCCAUCUGCACCUCCCACCCUGACCCCAUGGACCAUGGCAGAGAGCAUGACAGAGACGCUGUGUGACAGAGAGUAGCUUUACUGGGAGCUGAACCAGCUGACCCACCGUAUCACCCAGAUGGGUCUUUACACCCUGGUCAGGGACAACCUCUUUUCAGUGGAGUGGAGCCAUCAGUUCAUCUAGUGACAGACAAGCCAACAAGUAGUCCCAGGCCGCAGCACUUCCAGCUGAAUUUUGCUGUCACCAACCUACUCUAUUCCCAGGACACAGCCCAGCCAAGCACCACCAAACAUCAGUGGAACAAGAGAAGUAUUGAGGAUGCGAUGUUGAACCAUCCUUACAUCCCUGGGAUAAAUCCUACUUGACCAUGGGGAAUAUUAGCACUGGGCUAACAUCUGUGCCAAUCUUCCUCUAUUUUGUAUGUGAGUUGCCACCACAUCAUGGCUAAUGAGUGGUGUAGUUCUGUGCCCAGGAUCCAAACUCAUGAACCUGGGCCACCAAAACAGAAUGCUCUGAACAUAAGCACUAGGCCAUGGGGCUGGUCCCUGAGAUUUUCUAUUUCUUCAUGAUUCAGUCUUGGAACAUGUUAUGUUUUGAGAAAUUUAUCCAUUUCUUCUAGGUUGUCCAAUUUGUUGGCGUAGAAUUUUUCAUAGUAGUCUUAUAAUCUUUUGCAUGUUUGUGGUACCAAUUGUAACUUCUCUUCUUUUAUUUCUGAUUUUACUUGAGCCCUCUCUCUUUUUUCUUGGUGACUCUAGCUAAAAGUUUGUCAAUUUUUUUUUAUCUUUUUAAGGAACCAGCUUUUACAUUCAUUGAUCUUUUCUAUUGGUUUUUUUUUUUUUUUUGGCUCUAUAUAAUUUUUUCAACCUUGAUCUUUAUUAUUUCCUUUCUUCUACUAACUUUGGGCGUUAUUUGUUCAUGUUUCCUAAUUCAUUUAGGUAUAUAGGUAUAUUGUUUAUUUGAGAUAUUUCUGGUUUCUUGAGGUAGGCCUACAUUGUUAUAAACUUUCCUCUUAAAACUAUUUUUGCUCCAUCUCAUAGAUUUUGGUAUGUUGUAUUUCCAUUUUCAUUUGUCUCAAGGUAUAUUUUUAUUUCUCCUUUGAUUUCUUUCUUGACCCAUUGGUUGUUCAGAGACAUCUUUAUUGAAAGUCUUCUUAGAUACUUCACUACAUACAUAUCAGAGUUAGUAUAAUUUAUAUUUACUGAAAUAACAUUGCUGAAUGCAGGUUGAAAAUAGCUUUGUUAGGACAUCUUUAUUAAAAGUCUUUAUAAACAGUUUACUACAUGCAUUAAAGAAUGAGUAUCACUUACAAUCCUUGAAAUGACACUAUGCUGAACAGAGCUUGUAAGCAGCUUAGUUAGAAAUGUAUUACAAGUCUUUAUAAACAGUUAUCUACAUGCACUACAGAUGGCUAUCACUUACAAUCAUUGAAAUAAAAAUGUACUGAAUGCAGUUUGCAAGCAUCUUUGAAAGAAACAUCUUUAUUACAAGUAUUCUUAAAUAUGCAUUUCAGAAUAUGUAUCACUUCCAUUCACUGAAAUAACAAUGGGCUGCAUUCAGUACUGUGUUAUUUCAGGGAUGAGGGAUAUAUAUUCUUAAUGUAUCUAUUAAAUUGUUUUAGAACACUUGUAAUACAAAUGUAUCUAAGAAUGUUACUUGCAAGCUAUAAUUGUGGUAUUUGACGAAUGGAAGAAAUAUCCAUUUUUUAAUGCAUGUAGUGGAGAUUAUGGGGACGAUUGUAAUAAAGAUGUUUCUAAGAUGUAAUAAAGAUGUUUCUGAUGCUAGUUGAAAGCCACAUUGAGUGCAGUGUUUUAUCAGUUAAUGUAAGUAGCACCUAUUCUGAAAUGCUUGUGGUGAAGUAUUUAACACCAUUAUAAAGAUAUUUCUAAGAAGGCUACAUGCAAGCAUCUUUGAGAAAAGUGUUAUAUCAGUGUUAGGAAAUUAUACCCAUUCAGUAAUGCAUGCAGUGAAGAGUUGAGAACAAUUGUAAUAGAGGUGUAUCUAAGAGACAGAAUAAUAUCAGAAAAUGGAAGUAAAUUGUUUUUGUACACUUGUAAUAAAGUUGUUUUUAGGAGUGCCACUUACAAGCUGCAUUGAGAUCUGUGUUACUUCAGUGAAUGCAAGUGAUACACAUUCUGUAAUGCAUACAACAAAGUGUUAAGAACACUUGUAACUAAGAUGAUUCUAAGAAUAAUACUUGCGUGCUGCAUUCAGUGCAGUGUUAUUUCUGUUAAUAUAAGUAAUUCCCAUUCAGAAAUAAUUGUGGUGAAGUGUUUGAGAAAUAUUGUAAUGAAGAUGUUUCUAAGAAAGCUCUUGCAAGCAACACUGAGAGCUGUGUUAUUUCAGUGAAUAGAAGUUACACACAAUCUGUAAUGCUUGUAGUGAGCUGUUGUGAGACACUUGUAAUAAAGAUAUUUCUACAAACAAAACAUGCAAGCUGCAUUCAGACAAGUGUUAUUCCUGUGAAUGAAAGUGACACUUUGUAGUGUAUGUAGUAAAUUGCUUUAGAACACUUGUAGAAAUGUGUUUCUAAGAUCACUACUCAUACACUGCAUUCGUUGUUAUGUCAGUGAAAGAUAGUGAUACCCAUUAUGUAAUGUAUUUAGUAAGGUGUUUAAGAACACUGUAAUAAAGAUGUUUUUAAGAUCCCUACUUGUAAGCUGUGUUAAGAUCAGCCUCAUUUCAGUGUAUUGAAAUGAUACAAUUUCUGUAAUGCAUGUAGUGAAGUGUUUCAUGACACUUGUAAUAAAGAUGUUUUGAGGAAUGCUAAUUGCAAGCUGCAUCUAGAACCAUGUCAUUUUAGUUUAAGAAAGUGAUACCCUUUCUCUAAUGAGUGCCGUGAUGUUUUUAAGAACACUUGUAAUAAAGAAUUGUCUAAGAAAGCCCCUUCCAAGUUGUUUUAACACUGUAUUUCCCUUUUUCCCUGUUGAAUGAAGUGACAAACGUUAAGUAAUGCAUGUAGUGAAAUGUUUCAGAACGCUUAUAAUAAUGAUAUUUCUAAGAAUGCUGCUGCAAGCUGUAUCAAUAGCAGUGUUAUUUCACUACCUGGCAGUGAUACUCAUCAUGUAAUACAUGUAAUAAAGUGUUUAGGAACCCUGUAAUAGAUAUGUUUCUAAGAAUGGUGCUUUUACGAUGCCCACUGUUGAGGCAAGUGUUAUUUAAGUGAAUGAAGUGAUACCACCUCUGUAAUGCGUAUAGUGUGUGAAUAAGAACACCUAUAAAACAAAAUGUUUCUAACAAGCUACUUGCAAGCUGCAUUGAGAAGAAUAUAUUGUCAGUUAAUGCAUUUGAUAACAUAUUCUGUAAUAGAUGUAGUGAAUUAUUUAGACCACUUAUGUUAAGGAUAGUUCUAAUAAGCUGCCUGUAAGGUACAUUCAGACCAGUGUUAUUUCAGUGUGUGGUGAUGGGUGUCACUUUACCCAUUCUGCAAUGCAGUGAAAGGACACAGUGAUAAAGAUGGUUCUAAUAAAGCUGCUUGCAAGAGGCUUUUAGAUCAGAGUUAUAUCAGUAAAAUAAUGUGACACCCUUUCUGUCAUACACCCAGUGACUUUUUUUUUUUAUGAGGAAGACCAGCCCUGAGCUAACAUCCAAUGCGAAUCCUCCUCUUUUUGCUGAGGAAGAGUGUCCCUGGGCUAACAUCCAUGCCCACCUUCCUCUACUUUCUAUGGGAUGCCACCUCAGCAUGGCUUGACAAACAGUGCCUCAGUGCACACCCAGGAUCUGAGCCUGUGAAAUACCGGCCAUUGAAGCAGCAGAGUGUGCUCACUUAACCGCUGCGCCACUAGGCCAGCCCCAUACACUCAGAGACUUUUUAAAGAACACUUGUAUUAGAGAUGUUUCUAAGACUUCCACUUGCAAGCCCUAUUAGAACUGUGUUUCUUUAAUGAAUGGAAGUGAUACUUAAUAGUAAUGUAUGUGGUGAAGUGAAUAAGAACACUGUUAUAAAGAAGUUUCAAAAAGUAAAUCUUAAAAGUUGUCAUCACAAGAAAAAGCUUUACUAUGUAUUAAGAUGAAUGUUAACUAAACUUAUUGUGGUGAUCAUUUCACAAUAUAAACAAAUGUUGAAUUAUUAUUGUAUACUUGAAUCUAAUAUAACAUUAUAUAUCAAUUAUACCUCAAUUUUUAGAAAAAUGAAAUUUCUAAGACCUCUACUUCACUACUUUCAAACUGCAGUAUGAACUGUGUUAUUUCAAUAAUGAAAGUGAUGCUCAUUCUGUAAUGCAUGUAAUGAACUGUUUCAGAACUCUUGUAAUAAUGGUGAUUGUAAGAAUGCUACUCUCAAAUUGCAUUCAUACCAGUGUUAAUUUAUGAAUGGAAGUGAAACCCAUUCUGAAAUGCUUAUGUUGAAGUCCUCGAGAUCAUUUGUAAUAAAUAAGUUUCUAACUUUCUGUUUCCAAGCUGCAUGAGGAGUCUGUUAUUUCAGUGAAUGGAAGUAAUAUGCAUCCUGUAAUACAUGUAAUUACAUGCUUCAGAAUAGUUGUAAUAGUGAUGUCAUCAUCAUGGUGAUGUGAGAUAAUCCCUUUGUCUCUCCCAUUGAAUCUACAACAAGUAAAACAUUCAUAAUUCAACAAAGGCUAAAUUACCCAAAACACCAUGACAGUGGAGAGAUCCACACAUCAAUACAUAUGAAGGGGGUGGAUUGGAGCACAUAGAGGAGGAAAACAGGGAGAAAAGUAGGGACAGUGCCCAGGAUCCUAGCUUCUGAUAGUGGCAGCUGAACCAGCUGCCUUCAACCCCAGAGAACCCAGUGGGCAGCAGUGGAGAUAUGUGUGAGACUCUAGCCUCCCAACACUGGUGGAAUCUGUGGCCACUAGGAGCAGAGCAGCAGUAGAGGUGGAGCCACAUGAUCCUGGGCCCCUGGCUGCAGCUCAGAGCCUGGUAGCAGCAGUGGAGGUGCACACACAACUCCAGCCUUCCAAUGGCAGUGACACCUGCAACCACAAGGAAAUGGGCAACAGCAGAGGUGGUGCCUCAUGAACCUGGCCCCCUCCCCACUCUCUUGCUUUUCCCACUGCAGUGGCAGUGCUUCCAACUCAGGUGAUCCCAGACGCAGCAGAGGUGUCAGUUAUCCUGUGCCCCUGGCAGCAAAACCACUGACUGCAGUGACAUCAGGAACAGCAAGGCAUCAGUGACCCCCAGAGGCACAGGUGGUAAUGACAAGAGUACCAGUGACACCCUAAUAGAGGCAGUGUAGGGUGGAAAGUGCCAAACCUCAAAUAUAGCGAGAGACAGCGCAGGUAAGAGAAACCAAAAAUUGAUGCUAUAGCACCACCUACUGAAAAACAAAAGAAAGGCCUCUAAUCUCCAACUGCUUGAAUAGUUAGAAUCAAAACAAAGCUAUACCUAAAUAAGAAAAGUGUUCACCAUGACAGUGUUCUGGCAGAGGAAUAACUCAUCAAUCACCACAAAAAGUCAUGGUAACACAGCAUGACAAAGAGAAAAUAACAAUUCCCCAGAAAUCAAACAUAAAGUCUUGGAAGAUUGUGAUCUACCUGAUAAGAAUUCAAAAUACCUGUCAUGAAGAAACUCAAUGAACAACAAAAAAGCUCAGAAAGGCAGUUCAAUGAGCUCAGGAAUAAAAUUAAUGAACAGAACGGAACUCUAAAAAAGAACCAAUGAAACUCUGGAGCUGAAGAACUCAAUAAACGAGAUGAAACAUGGAUUUGAAAGCAUUAGAAAUAGAGAAGACCAUAUGGAAGAGAUUUAAUUAGCAAGCUCAAAGAUAGAAAUUUACCUCCUUCUCCUACAGGUAGAAGAGGAGAAAGAACUAAGAUUUUUUUGAAAUGUAGAAAUUCUAUGAGAAUUACAUGACUCCACUAAAAAGGGCAACAUAAAUGUAAUGGGUAUCCCAGAAGGAAAAGAGAGAGAGAAGGGAGCAGAGAGCUUAUUUGAAGAAAUAAUGGCUUAGAACUUUCCAAAUCUGGGGAAGAAACUAGAUAUAUAAAUCCACGAAGCUACUAGAACACCCAAUUUUCUCAAUGCAAAAGACUUUCUCCAAAAUAAAAGAUAAUACAACUGUCAAAAGUCAAUGACCAAAAAAGUAUUAAAGGCAGCCGGGGGAAAAAUCCAGUGACUUAC